Non-coding RNA from Electrophorus electricus (electric eel), 734 nucleotides. NCBI's taxonomy places the organism in Eukaryota, Metazoa, Chordata, Actinopteri, Gymnotiformes, Gymnotidae. The record is from RefSeq and is a predicted model, not a curated record.
GUCGCAUCUGUGUAAGGACAGCAGGGGGAGCUCUAAAUAACGGUAUCAGAGGGGAAGAAAAAGUACUGUGGCGGUGUGUGCUGAACAUCAUAAAGUCAGUCAAGAAGUUCUGCAGCAGCCUCGAAGUCACUUAUUAAUAGAGAAUGCAACAACUCCCACCUGUUCAUGAGCUCCUUCCUUCUUUGAAAUUGCAUACGGUAACGUCAAGGUAAUGACAUGUUCCGCCCCUUCUCUUAAUGUUAGCGUAGCACAGAGCUUCGGCAUAUCAAGCCACAAAAAAAAUUAAAUACACAAAAAUACUUAUGUAGUUUGUCUAUAUUAUCUCAUUUCCAGUCAAAUUUAGACUGAACAACCAAUCUGAAAAUUCCCACGGCCGACCGUCGACGGCGAUUCAGCAUGCACAAUUGGCUGAAACAGGACCAACUAGAGCCAACGGUGCGGGACACACUGCACUAAGUGCAGGCAACGAUCAGUCACCGACGCUGUCCGACGGCCAGUUGUCGGCUGAACGUGUCCCUAGCAGAGAACAACAAAUGAAUGACUUAGUUCAGAAAGUCGACUGCAGUUUGGUAACGUUCCUCUGGUGCAUGCCGUGGUGUCUGACCAGCUCAUCUGAACGGGCGAACUUCUUGUGACAGGUUGGCCAGCGACAGGAUGAUAAAAAAAGGCCAGGAUAUGGACGCAGCAGGAAAGUGAGGUAUGGGCGCAACCCUGCCGUCCACAACAGGAGGGAC